GAUCAUGGCUCAGAUUGAACGCUGGCGGAAUGCUUUACACAUGCAAGUCGAACGGUAACAGGUCUUCGGAUGCUGACGAGUGGCGAACGGGUGAGUAAUAUAUCGGAACGUGCCCAGUCGUGGGGGAUAACGUAGCGAAAGUUACGCUAAUACCGCAUACGAUCCAAGGAUGAAAGCGGGGGACUCGCAAGAGCCUCGCGCGAUUGGAGCGGCCGAUAUCAGAUUAGGUAGUUGGUGGGGUAAAGGCUCACCAAGCCAACGAUCUGUAGCUGGUCUGAGAGGACGACCAGCCACACUGGAACUGAGACACGGUCCAGACUCCUACGGGAGGCAGCAGUGGGGAAUUUUGGACAAUGGACGCAAGUCUGAUCCAGCCACUCCGCGUGCAGGAUGAAGGCCCUCGGGUUGUAAACUGCUUUUGUACGGAACGAAAAGGUCUCUCUUAAUACGGGGGGCUCAUGACGGUACCGUAAGAAUAAGCACCGGCUAACUACGUG
RNAcentral lists this ribosomal RNA (497 nucleotides) under uncultured bacterium. Its description in RNAcentral is "bacterial SSU rRNA". It matches the Rfam family "Bacterial small subunit ribosomal RNA", at positions 15 to 507 of the family's 1533-position model. The record is from RNAcentral.